This 429-nucleotide ribosomal RNA is filed under the name uncultured archaeon. RNAcentral describes it as "bacterial SSU rRNA". It matches the Rfam family "Archaeal small subunit ribosomal RNA", at positions 474 to 903 of the family's 1478-position model. The record is from RNAcentral.
CACCAGCCCCCUGAGUGGUGGGGACGUUUAUUUGGCCUAAAGCGUUCGUAGCUUGCUGUAUCCGUUACCCGUUAAAUCCAGCGUCUCAAGCGUUGGGCUGCGAGUAAUACCAUACAGCUAGAGGGUGGGAUAGGUGAGCGGUAUUUCUAGGGUAGGGGCGAAAUCCUUUGAUCCUAGGAGGACCACCAGUGGCGAAGGCCGCUCACUAGAACACGCCUGACGGUCAGGGACGAAAGCUGGGGUAGCGAACCGGAUUAGAUACCCGGGUAGUCCCAGCUGUAAACGAUGCUCGCUAGGUGUUGGGUCGGUCACGUACCGCCCCAGUGCCGCAGGGAAGCCGUUAAGCGAGCCGCCUGGGGAGUACGGCUGCAAGGCUGAAACUUAAAGGAAUUGGCGGGGGAGCACCACCAGGCGUGAAGCUUGCGGUUU